GUGGGGAAUUUUGGACAAUGGGCGCAAGCCUGAUCCAGCAAUGCCGCGUGCAGGAAGAAGGCCUUCGGGUUGUAAACUGCUUUUGUACGGAACGAAACGGUCCGGGUUAAUACCCUGGGCUAAUGACGGUACCGUAAGAAUAAGCACCGGCUAACUACGUGCCAGCAGCCGCGGUAAUACGUAGGGUGCAAGCGUUAAUCGGAAUUACUGGGCGUAAAGCGUGCGCAGGCGGUUUUGUAAGACAGGCGUGAAAUCCCCGGGCUCAACCUGGGAAUUGCGCUUGUGACUGGAAGGCUGGAGUGCGGCAGAGGGGGAUGGAAUUCCGCGUGUAGCAGUGAAAUGCGUAGAUAUGCGGAGGAACACCGAUGGCGAAGGCAAUCCCCUGGGCCUGCACUGACGCUCAUGCACGAAAGCGUGGGGAGCAAACAGGAUUAGAUACCCUUGUAGUCC
RNAcentral lists this ribosomal RNA (450 nucleotides) under uncultured bacterium. RNAcentral describes it as "bacterial SSU rRNA". It matches the Rfam family "Bacterial small subunit ribosomal RNA", at positions 354 to 796 of the family's 1533-position model. The record is from RNAcentral.